AUCACCAUGGUAUCUUGUGCACAUGAACCCAUGUUUUGGUUUACACUCAUUCAUGACAAUAAGUUGUGUACGAGGUCUUCUGGAUAUGGUAAAUUGUGUACGAAGAUUAUGAGUAGGUCAACAAGGAAUUAAUCACUUCUAGUAAGAGAAGAUAGCAUCCUAUUUAUUCUAAUCAUAUGAUAAUUCAGGAAGCCUUUGAUCAAAGCAGAAUGAAAAUUAGAAAGAGUUUCUAAUAUUUUAUUAUUUGAAUUAUCAAUAAAAGAUUGAAAAAAUAUGAAUAUGAAAUUGAGUUUGACAUAUAUUCAUACUCAUAUACAUAUUUGGGAUGCAG
This 331-nucleotide long non-coding RNA is filed under the name Phoenix dactylifera (date palm). RNAcentral describes it as "long non-coding RNA (PDAC_LNC010925)". Lineage: Eukaryota; Viridiplantae; Streptophyta; Magnoliopsida; Arecales; Arecaceae. The record is from RNAcentral.